RNAcentral lists this ribosomal RNA (253 nucleotides) under uncultured bacterium. Its description in RNAcentral is "partial 16S ribosomal RNA". It matches the Rfam family "Bacterial small subunit ribosomal RNA", at positions 524 to 776 of the family's 1533-position model. The record is from RNAcentral.
GACAGAGGGUGCAAACGUUGUUCGGAAUUACUGGGCGUAAAGCGCGUGUAGGCGGCCCUGUAAGUCGGGUGUGAAAUCCCACGGCUCAACCGUGGAAGUGCAUUCGAAACUACAGGGCUAGAGUUCUGGAGAGGAAGGUGGAAUGCUUGGUGUAGAGGUGAAAUUCGUAGAUAUCAAGCGGAACACCGGCGGCGAAGGCGGCCUUCUGGACAGUAACUGACGCUGAGACGCGAAAGCGUGGGGAGCAAACGGG